This 468-nucleotide ribosomal RNA is filed under the name uncultured bacterium. Its description in RNAcentral is "partial 16S ribosomal RNA". It matches the Rfam family "Bacterial small subunit ribosomal RNA", at positions 28 to 507 of the family's 1533-position model. The record is from RNAcentral.
GACGAACGCUGGCGGCGUGCUUAACACAUGCAAGUCGAACGGAAAGGCGCUGCUCUUGUGGGUUGCUCGAGUGGCGAACGGGUGAGUAACACGUGAGUAACCUGCCCUUGACUGUGGGAUAACUUCAGGAAACUGGGGCUAAUACCGGAUAGGAGCUCCUGCUGCAUGGUGGGGGUUGGAAAGUUUCGGCGGUUGGGGAUGGACUCGCGGCUUAUCAGCUUGUUGGUGGGGUAGUGGCUUACCAAGGCUUUGACGGGUAGCCGGCCUGGGAGGGUGACCGGCCACAUUGGGCCUGAGGUACGGCCCAGACGCCAACGGGAGGCAGCAGUGGGGAAUAUUGCGCAAUGGGCGGGAGCCAGAUGCAGCGACGCCGCGUGCGGGAUGACGGCCUUCGGGUUGUAAACCGCUUUCGCCUGUGACGAAGCGUGAGUGACGGUAAUGGGUAAAGAAGCACCGGCUAACUACGUG